Molecule: unclassified non-coding RNA, 233 nt
Filed under: Hebeloma porphyrosporum
Lineage: Eukaryota; Fungi; Basidiomycota; Agaricomycetes; Agaricales; Hymenogastraceae
Description: ITS1
Source: RNAcentral
UUGAAUGAACUUGGUGUGGUUGUCGCUGGCCCUCUCGGGGGCAUGUGCACACCCGCCAUCCUCAUCUCUCCACCUGUGCACCUCAUGUAGAUUUGGAUUGACUUUCCGAGGCAACUCGGUCGGGAGGACUGCUAGCUUGCUGGCUUUCCUUGCAUUUCCAGGUCUAUGUUUUUCAUAUACCCCAUUGUAUGUAACAGAAUGUAUUAUUGGGCACUUGUGCCUAUAAAACUUAU